Molecule: long non-coding RNA, 804 nt
Filed under: Ananas comosus (pineapple)
Lineage: Eukaryota; Viridiplantae; Streptophyta; Magnoliopsida; Poales; Bromeliaceae
Description: long non-coding RNA (ACOM_LNC023457)
Source: RNAcentral
AACUCCCAAUGUUACGUUGUCGGCCGCCAACGUAACCCUCCGCGAAGUUAGGAGCUAUACACUUCAAUUUAACUCCACUUACUAGAGUUAUCAAAGAUACUCAAUUAAGAUACUUUCGCUUACAAGUCGAAUAGACCUUGUCUCUCACGAGCCUAUUUCCUAUAGUCCAACCGGCCUAAGGUUUGUUAGGUCCACUAAGACUGAACUCUAGGCUCUGAUACAAUCUGUGACGCCCCAACUUCCCAGAGGGUCACCCAUCCUAGGACUACUCCCGUCCUAGCACGGUUAACUCUCUUAACCUCUUGGGCCUUGCCACCACCCAAAAUGCUUAAGCCGGGUUAAGAGUUUAGCCUUAUUAUAUCUCAUAUAUAGGACUAUCUGGGGUCUCACAAUCUCCCCUCCUUUAAGCCCUGACGUCCUCGUCAGGCUCAGACUCACAAGUACCAGGCGAUGUGAGACUCAUCUCGCUAGCCCGUCAUCCAGACCCUGGCUCAGCCGAGACUCAUCUCACACUUCCGGCUGGUAAUUGGCUCUGAUACCAUCUGUGACGCCCCAACUUCCCAGGGGGUCACCCAUCCUAGGACUACUCCCGUCCUAGCACGCUUAACUCUCUUAACCUCUUGGGCCUUGCCACCACCCAAAAUGCUUAAGCCGGGUUAAGAGUUUAGCCCUAUUAUAUCUCAUAUAUAGGACUAUCUGGGGUCUCACAAUCUCCCCUCCUUUAAGCCCUGACGUCCUCGUCAGGCUCAGACUCACAAGUACCAGGCGAUGUGAGACUCAUCUCGCUAGCCCGUCAUCCAGACC